AGGAAAUACUGCUGAGUAGGACAGAUUUAGUGUCCGGGUGACUCCAGGAAAUAGAGGCUGGUACAGCGAAUUUGAUGUCCGACUAAUGCUUGCUCUCUGAGUACUAGGUUUGCUGUGGACUAUGAAGUCCCAACAUCCACCUGAGAAGAUAGUUGCUGUGCGGUAUCAGACUUACAUGAUAAAUCCAAGAUCCCCGUUGUUCAGGAGUCUGCCCAAACUGCUCAAUAUCUAAUCCUACAUUUGUAUAACCUGAGGCUGUAACAACAAAGUGACUUGUGAUCCAAACAGGAUAUCAUAGGCUGGAUUUGUAGGAACUACUAGGCGAGAAUGGAGACGGUUCAUUCGCAGAUCCACUGGGGCAAACUGCAGGCAAUCCUGCCUUGGUAAUGGCUCUCAUCCAGAUGAAGAGAAGGAGGGCCAAUUGCAGGUUGGCACAGGGCCAAGAGGAUCAAGGGCCUGAGCAGCUAGAGGUGGCAGAGCCUCAAGAAGGUGAAGAUGCUGGCGGACAGGGUCCACUGCAAUGUUUUAUUGGGGAACAAGCUGAGGAAAGAAGGCUACCCAAACUGGCACCCUCUCUCCAGCUUGCCUGAAAAUUGUGUAUGGCUAUCAACCUGUAGCCAGAGAAUCCUCACCCGAGUGUAACCAGUUUGCGUUUGGACCUGCAAAGCUGAGACCAAUUGGUGAGAACUUCUAGACAUCCAUCAGGACCAGUGGCCCACCUUCGCACGAGAGAACUCCAGGUCAAUGGCAUUGAGAACCUAUGGACUUUAUCCUUUAUUUUAUAAAUGCCCAUCCUCCAAAACCCAUCUCUGCAGAGAGACUGUUUGUCCUUUGUUUGUCUGUGUGUGUGCUGGGGGAAUUCUUUAGGAAGGGAUUGAUAGUUAUAUUUCCCAAUUACAAUUUUGUUAACCAGUACUUGCAACUUGUUAAAAGAAGUUUGGUUUUAAAAUAAAUUAAUCAUUGAGGGUUUUUUUUGAAAGAAAUCUGGUCAGAACCUCUUUUCCUCUGGGUGCUAGAAGUAUAGGUACACAAAUAGCCAUUUGUGAGAAAAUUAAACAUUUAAAUUAAUGGUAUGGCCCGUGGAGUAGUGGGGUUUGAUAAUUCGCACACUCCUCCCAUCCCGGUCAUAACAAAAACUUAUCAAUUAAAGUUCCAGUGCAAGUCCUCAUCCUCAAUAAUGUAAGCCAAUUAAUUUUAAUAUUGUUUAAUCUAUGAAAUUCUGGUAGUUUGAGACAGGUACUGUUUUGUUAUUUAUUUAGGCUUUUAUUAAUUCAAAGAUAACUUGGGAGAAACUGAAUGCAUGGCAAACAUCCUUUGUACAGAUUAUCUCUUGUUCCAUUUUUGAUUUCCUGCAUAACUCUCAGGUUAAGAGAGGAGCAACUGGAUCUCAAUCACCUCUGCUAAAGCUGCUCUUACUCCAAGUAGCUUGUGCAUCAGUAGAUGUACAAUUGGGUCCUGGGCUUGUCUUAGCAAUUUAUUUUACUCAUCCCACUUUCCCCUGGGGACAGCACAUCUCCUUUGCUUCUCCUGCUAACAGCAGAAAUCGUGUGUGUGGUGGAAGGGGCAAAAUACCAUGUCUCAUCAGUUAAUUGUUCUGCACACUCAAGCACCAGCAUGAAAUACGAAGUAGGGCUUUCAGUACAAGGUUUGAUUUCCAGCAAUUAUUCCCUAUAGUAUUCAGCAUUGUAUAAUAAUGUGUGCACUAUAAUUAACGAGUGAUUAUCCCACAGGCAUUAAGUUUUUGGUUCACGUCAAGCACAAUUAAAUCCAUAUAUGGCAUUUGUAUACCUGCAGAAAAUUAAAGGAAUCUGAUCAGAUCAUGAUUUAUAUUUUUUAAAAUCCUGUUUUCUGAACAAAUGGCAUUUCUUUGGCUUUGUUUAAAGAUGUUUUCAAAGCUGUGCUGGGACUGGAGAAGGUUCAGGGUAUUUUACUUCUGUGAUCCAGUGCUAAAAUGUCUCUCCUGAGCAUUGAAAUCCACCCUCCUGCAUGACUGCAACUAUGUCCUGUUUAUUCAAGUGCUUUGCACAAUUUGGGUUUUGCCCCUGUUCUGGGUUACUUAGUUCUUUCAAUAAUGGAAUGAGUCAUGCUACCCAUUCAUUCAAGCAGCACUUUUCUAGUUAAAACAAACUGUGCAAGUAAAGGGAUCAGAAAGCAAAUACAGACUGAUAGUGUCUAGGAGACAAGUAAAAACUGAUCUUGGCAAGACCAUUAUCUGAUGUGUAUUUUCUGAGAUAUAUCAAAGCCCAACAACAACUUGAAAGUUUUCUAUUUAAUCCAUGAUGAGCUGCUGCUGAAUUUUCUGAAAUCAGAAAACCUAUGGAGCAAGUCCCUCAUGUUGAAAAUCUUACUGAAAAAGACAGCAUUAGUAAACCUGAUGUAUUGUUUUUUACUUUAUUUUGCUAUAAAGUAUUAACAGGAGGAAUGUCAUCCUUUAAUAAUGCAAUUAAAGCUCUACCUAGUUUGUGAACUAGCUUGAAUAAAACAUUAUUCACUCACACCUUAUAUGUACUGACUGGACCACUCUCAGUUCCUAACAUCUGGUCUUCAAAAAGCCAGAGAAUACCACCAUUAUUCUCUGGGAAAAAUAAACAAAUCCAGGAAGUCAA
This is a long non-coding RNA of Carcharodon carcharias (great white shark), 2606 nucleotides long. RefSeq lists it as uncharacterized. The transcript is spliced from 5 exons. The record is from RefSeq and is a predicted model, not a curated record. Lineage: Eukaryota; Metazoa; Chordata; Chondrichthyes; Lamniformes; Lamnidae.